AUGCUCAUCCACAACCCCGUGUUCUACUCCGGGACCCUCCCUCCCCAUGCGACAUCAAGCACCCACCGAAUCUACGACGGCAAUGUUCUCCCCGGGACGUCAGACUUCGACGCCGGCUGGGUGGCCGGACCGGACGGCUCAUCCUUCCACCGCUUCACCGCGCAUCCAGAGCCAACGCUCCAGGACCUCAUCACCGGAGCCGUCACCACAUUGCCUCCCUUCCCGGAGGACAACCAUGGCAUCGUGCAGCGGAUGAAGAGGAAUCAUGGCGUUGUCUACGGCGAUGGCACAAUUUUUCUGUAUAGCUUUGUUAAUGAGCCAGCCCCCGAGGGCCGUUUGUACAUGCCCGUCUUCACUGCAGCCAUCAUGCGUCUAGGUGACACGGUAUGGACGGUCUUGGAAAGGAGGCUGAAUUCGCUGCCGCGAUCCGAUAAUUGCGCCGCAUAUCACGACGGCAAGGUCCUAGUGUGGGUGGGUACAGACCGUUGGUGCAUCGUGACGCAAGAUUCCAAAUCCAAUGCUGGUGACAUAAACUUCAUCAAUCUUGAGAUGACGGAUGAUACACGCAAGGAUAGACGGUACAUGCGCACCGACAACUAUGUCUUCGCGUCCCGGGGUGAGCUGUUAGUGAUGGUGCAUGCACUGGAAGAAGAAGCAGACGGCAACAUGCGAUGGGUGGAGAGGGAUGGUCGGAGCUUCGAUGAUCGUGUCUUGUUCCUCGGGUUCCCUGGGAGCUUCACCGCGGAUGCUACCCGGCUAGGCAUGGACGGCGGGUGUGCCUACUUUGUCAACCGUCAUCGCUUGUUCAGUUACAACCUGUUCAACGGUGAAAUCAAAGCAUUGGAAUCUCCGUUUAUUGGAUGGAUUCCCCCCAAUGCGCAUGUGUGGCUCCGGCCCCAACCUAUAGUUGCUCCCGUCCAGGGAAUGCAAGAAAGACUUAGCCUCCAUACACACAAGAACAAGCCAACUUUGAUUCGCUUGGGGGGGGGGGUCUGGUCCGGGGUGGGAGCCUACGGCUAUGACCACGGCUCCGUGGUUGCGGGUGAUGAAGGCCUCAAAAAUCUUGCGGCGCCGGGCAGCCUUGGUGCGCAAGGGCUCAAUAUUGGCAUAGGAGAGGAAGGAUGCAAUGGCGAUGAGUUCAGACCUCGCCUAUGGAUGAUUUUGGGCAAGGUCGACGGUGGCGCUGAUGCUGCCGCUGUGGGCGAUGAGCAGUUGGCGGGGACGUCGUCAUCUUCGUUGCCGCUACUGCUGCUGGUGGAGGUUGCCGUUGCAGCGACUCGGAGAGGUUUCUUUGCCUGCUGCAACUGUGCGGUGGUGCUGGUGCACGAUGGAUCCAAGGAUAGAUGUUGUGCCACGUGUCCGGCCUCAAUCCAAUUAGUUGCUCCCUCUUCCUCGCGCAUCGCACGUACAGGAGGGCACCAGCGCCGGCUAGGCGACCAGCGGGCUCCUUCGACCGCCGCCGCCAGAGAAGAGCGCCUUGUCGUCCGCGUGCGGCCGCCCCUCGCCGGAUGUCGUUCGCGUGCGGCCGCCCCUCGUCGGAUCUCGUUCGCAUGCGGCCGCCCCUUGCCGGAUCUCGUCCGCCUGCGGCCGCCCCUCGCCGGACUACUACCCCUCUGCCUCUUCCCAGAAUCCGCCACUUUGCCUCUCCCUGGAAUCCACCCCGGCCGCCCCUCGCCAGACAUUGCAGCGCUCGAGCCUCCCCAGCCAUGGCAGACUACACCCCACGGUGAUUUUUUGUUAGAACCGGUUGUAGCAAAUUCAAUCGCCGGUGGUAGCAAAAAUCUACUACUGUUGCAGCAAAAUGGCGUCAUCGUCAUCGCGAGCAAACACUAG
Molecule: ribosomal RNA, 1833 nt
Filed under: Triticum aestivum (bread wheat)
Lineage: Eukaryota; Viridiplantae; Streptophyta; Magnoliopsida; Poales; Poaceae
Description: partial small subunit ribosomal RNA
Source: RNAcentral